Molecule: long non-coding RNA, 1804 nt
Filed under: Anas platyrhynchos platyrhynchos (common mallard)
Lineage: Eukaryota; Metazoa; Chordata; Aves; Anseriformes; Anatidae
Description: lncRNA (ENSAPLG00000016805.1)
Source: RNAcentral
AAACUGUCCAAGAAGAGCUCUGAACCCAGAUGUUUCUCUAAGGCCAACCCAGCUUCCUGACUAUAUUUCCUCUUUCUUUUCAGGCAGCUGGAGGAACACCAUGGCUUUGGUACUACUGCUGGUGCAGAUGUGAGAUAGAUGCUGAGAUGCUUCAUAUACACCUACAGAAGAAAGCUGAGAGAUUUAUAGUGAUAUGAUCAGAAUGAAUAGACUUCUUCACAUUGUCAUUUUGGACUUGGACACCUCUUAUCCAUGUUUUGACUGUGAAUUCACUGUCCUCUCUCUCCCUCUUUUUUUUUUCUUCCAUGUGCAUAUCAAUAUUUGAUUAGACUUUUAUGGACAGUGUCCCACUGCAAGUCUAAAACCUAAUAUACAUAUAUAUACAUAUGUAUUAUAUAUAUAUAUAUGUAUGUAUAUAUUAUUACUUUUUUGAGGAGAUACAGCUUGCUUAUUCUGCCUGUUUCUGGAUUUUAAUUCUAUUUCUUCUUCUGGUCUCUUCUGGAUAUAACUGCACAGUUGUGAGCCUUCCCUCCGGAUGGGCAUGAGUCAGCUCCAAACCAUAAACAGCGUAGCCAUGGUUAGUAAGCCUGAGCUACUAAGCCUUUGCUGAUAGCGUGGGCACAACAAGUCGCGUCGGCUUGGAGUACAACCAAAGCAAGCUCACAUCUGCUUAAAAAACAACAACAACAAUGACAACAAAAGGUCUGGAAGAGGAACCUGCAGUGACUAUCUCAGACAUAGACAUUUACAUGACUCCUUCCACGGGACCUUUGUGCUUGCCUACCUUAUGUUUGAAGACACUCAGAUGUCUAUACAUGCAGAUAGGACAGGAAAGCCAGCGGCACUGCAUUCAUCUUAUCUGCAAACAAAUGCCAGGGAGACGCCUCAGGUAAGACAAUUUCAUUCAAACUCAUUCAUCUGGACUUACAAACCACAGCCAAAGCUAACAGAGCUCCUACUGUUUUAGACAGAGAAUUCACCAAGGAGCUCAUUGAUGUCUGGCAGAGAAUGGUGAUGAAAUAGAAGGAUUAACAAAAGUGAUCUGUACCAACAGUGAGGAUUUCAAAACGAUAAACUUUGAUAAGCUGGGAAGACUAUGCAAUGGACUGAAGAGCUUAGGGAAAGGAACACUUGAGCUGGAUUUUUCUGAAAUCAAAAAAGUGCAAAAAAUUAGUACAGAGUUUCCAUCCAGAACUGUUAAGAAAAGGUUGAGAAGGAAGAUGGACAAUUAACCAUCCCAGAAGGAUAGCAGAAAUAAGUAGACACAUUUAGGGAAAGAGAACAAGGGACUGAAGAAUUUCUUGGAGGGCAAGAAGAGUAGAGCUCAAAAAAAAAAGGGGGGCGGGAGAUAAAGGAGGAGAAGAAAAGGGGGGGCAUCUUGAGUAUUACAGCUGAGCUUAUUUUUUAUUUUAUUUUAUUUUAUUUUAUUUUAUUUUAUUUUAUUUUAUUUUAUUUCCAGUAUGUCCAGGAUAAAUGGAACAGUAUUUGUUCUGUGUUUGCCAAAGGUGUAUUAUACCAUAACAAAAUGAUUUUUUUAAGACAAAAUUAUUUUCUCCAUGCUAUCUUUCCCUAGAAAUACAAUACCUUUAAUCAGCUUGGACUUUGCUUAUUUACUUUCUAUACCACAUACAGGAUCAUCAGUUUAAGAAGAGGAUGUGUAUAGGAACUGAAAAGAGGAUAGUUAGAAGGCAGAUGAUAGGAGUUUAUGCUAAAAAGACAGUCAUAAUGCUAGAGGGAAGUAUGCAGCAGAAUUCCUCCAGGAGCAGUUUUGGUCUGUCUUGAUCUCUAAUUUAAUAUUUUCAUG